GAUGAAGAACGUAGCAAAAUGCGAUACUUGGUGUGAAUUGCAGAAUCCCGUGAACCAUCGAGUUUUUGAACGCAAGUUGCGCCCGAAGCCUUUUGGCCGAGGGCACGUCUGCCUGGGCGUCACGCAUCGCGUCGCCCCCCACAAUUCUCCGUAAAGGGAACAUGUGUUUUGGGGGCGGAUAUUGGUCUCCCGUGCUCAUGGCGUGGUUGGCCGAAAUAGGAGUCCUUUCGAUGGACGCACGAACUAGUGGUGGUCGUAAAAACCCUCGUCGUUUGUUUCGUGCUGUUGCUCGCAAGGUAAACUCUUUAAAAACCCCAAUGUGUCGUCUCUUGACGACGCUUCGACCGCGACCCCAGGUCAGGCGGGACUACCCGCUGAGUUUAAGCAUAUCAAUAAGCGGAGGA
RNAcentral lists this unclassified non-coding RNA (404 nucleotides) under soil metagenome. Its description in RNAcentral is "partial contains 5.8S ribosomal RNA, internal transcribed spacer 2, and large subunit ribosomal RNA". The stretch from base 1 to 122 matches the Rfam family "5.8S ribosomal RNA", at positions 35 to 154 of the family's 154-position model. The record is from RNAcentral.